CCUACGGGAGGCAGCAGUGAGGAAUAUUGGUCAAUGGACGAGAGUCUGAACCAGCCAAGUAGCGUGAAGGAUGACUGCCCUAUGGGUUGUACACCUCUUUUACAAAGGAAUAAAACGACGCACGUGUCCCUUUCUGCAUGUACUUUAUGAAUAAGGAUCGGCUAACUCCGUGCCAGCAGCCGCGGUAAUACGGAGGAUCCGAGCGUUAUCCGGAUUUAUUGGGUUUAAAGGGAGCGUAGAUGGGUUGUUAAGUCAGUUGUGAAAGUUUGGGGCUCAACCGUAAAAGUGCAGUUGAUACUGGCAGUCUUGAGUACGGUUGAGGUAGGCGGAAUGCGCGGUGUAGCGGUGAAAUGCUUAGAUAUCACGAAGAACCCCGAUUGCGAAGGCAGCUUACUAAGCUGUGACUGACAUUGAUGCUCGAAAGUGUGGGUAUCGAACAGGAUUAGAUACCCCGGUAGUC
RNAcentral lists this ribosomal RNA (460 nucleotides) under uncultured bacterium. Its description in RNAcentral is "partial 16S ribosomal RNA". It matches the Rfam family "Bacterial small subunit ribosomal RNA", at positions 338 to 795 of the family's 1533-position model. The record is from RNAcentral.